ACAACGGGUGGAGCUUGCGGUUUAAUUGGAUCAACGCCGGAAAUCUUACCGGACCGACAGCAAUAUGAAGGCCAGGCUGAAGACUUUGCCGGAUUAGCUGAGAGGUGGUGCAUGGCCGUCGUCAGUUCGUACUGUGAAGCAUCCUGUUAAGUCAGGCAACGAGCGAGACCCACGCCCACAGUUGCCAGCGUACUCUCUGGAGUGACGGGUACACUGUGGGGACCGCCGCUGCUAAAGCGGAGGAAGGAAUGGGCAACGGUAGGUCAGUAUGCCCCGAAUAUCCCGGGCUACACGCGAGCUACAAUGGUUGGUACAAUGGGUAUCUACCCCGAAAGGGGACGGGAAUCUCCUAAAACCAAUCUUAGUUCGGAUUGAGGGCUGCAACUCGCCCUCAUGAAGCUGGAAUCCGUAGUAAUCGCGUUUCAACAGAACGCGGUGAAUACGUCCCUGCUCCUU
This 456-nucleotide ribosomal RNA is filed under the name uncultured Methanosaeta sp. Its description in RNAcentral is "bacterial SSU rRNA". It matches the Rfam family "Archaeal small subunit ribosomal RNA", at positions 881 to 1338 of the family's 1478-position model. Lineage: Archaea; Methanobacteriati; Methanobacteriota; Methanomicrobia; Methanotrichales; Methanotrichaceae. The record is from RNAcentral.